CCAUUAUAGGCCUGUGACUUUGCA
Molecule: non-coding RNA, 24 nt
Filed under: Arabidopsis thaliana (thale cress)
Lineage: Eukaryota; Viridiplantae; Streptophyta; Magnoliopsida; Brassicales; Brassicaceae
Source: RNAcentral